GAUGAACGCUGGCGGCGUGCCUAAUACAUGCAAGUCGAGCGAACAGAUGAGGAGCUUGCUCCUCUGACGUUAGUGGCGGAUGGGUGAGUAACACGUGGAUAACCAACCUAUAAGUCAGCGAUCACUUCGGGAGACCGGACAUCAUACCGCAUAUUAUAUUGCACCGUAUGCUUACAUAGUGAAAGACGGUUUUGCUGACAAUUAUAGUUGGAUCAGCGCCGCAUUAGCUAGUUGGUAAGGUAACGGCUUACCAAGGCAACGAUGCGUAGCGGACCUGAGAGGGUGAUCGGCCACACUAGAACUGAGACACGGUCCAGACUCCUACGGGAGGAAGCAGUAGGGAAUCUUCCGCAAGGGACGAAAGCCUGACGUAGCAACGCCGCGGGAGUGAUGAAGGUCUUCGGAUCGUAAAACUCUGUUAUUAGGGAAGAACAAAUGUGUAAGUAACUAUGCACGUCUUGACGGUACCUAAUCAGAAAGCCACGGCUAACUACGUG
Molecule: ribosomal RNA, 497 nt
Filed under: uncultured bacterium
Lineage: Bacteria
Description: partial 16S ribosomal RNA
Rfam family: Bacterial small subunit ribosomal RNA
Source: RNAcentral